This is a long non-coding RNA of Bradysia coprophila, 183 nucleotides long. NCBI's taxonomy places the organism in Eukaryota, Metazoa, Arthropoda, Insecta, Diptera, Sciaridae. The record is from RefSeq and is a predicted model, not a curated record.
CUUUUAAAUGAACUUUCUAUCUGCCAUUAUUUCUGAGUUAUGGCUGACAUAGCUCGCACUUAAAACGCUAUCUAGCUCCAAAUGAUCGAUUCUUGGGGAAAACCAUCAAACACGUUGUCGACUAGAAAGUGAAACUCUACAACUUUGUCUUUUAAACGAACUUUCCGAUAUCUCCAGUAUUUU